ACCUGGCUCACGCCGGUUUAAACUCAGAUCAUGUAAAAUUUCAAAGGUCGAACAGACCCAAUUUGCUAGCUUCUACACCAACAAUUUAUUUUAAUCCAACAUCGAGGUCGCAAUCCUUUUCUUCGAUAAGAACUCUAAAAAAGAUUACGCUGUUAUCCCUAAGGUAAUUUAAUCUUAUAAUCUAAAUUUUAGGAUCUUAUAAAUUCAUAAAUUAAUGAUUUUAUAUAAAAAAAGUUAAUUCAAUUUUUUUAUCACCCCAAUAAAAUUUUUUUUACUAAAAAUUAUUAUAUUUAAUCCUAAAAUUUAUUAAUAAUAAAAAAAAUUAAACUCUAUAGGGUCUUCUCGUCUUCUAUAUAUAUUUAAGCUUUUUAACUUAAAAAUAAAAUUCUAAUUAAUUUUUAUAGAGACAGAAACUUUUUCAUCAAACCCUUCAUUCCAGCUUUCAAUUAAAAAACUAAUGAUUAUGCUACCUUUGCACGGUUAAUAUACCGCGGCCAUUCAACAUCUCAUUGGGCAGGCCAGACUUAAAAUUAUUAUCAAUAAGAC
RNAcentral lists this ribosomal RNA (546 nucleotides) under Trigonopterus sp. 623B MB-2015. RNAcentral's name for it is "partial 16S ribosomal RNA". The record is from RNAcentral. Lineage: Eukaryota; Metazoa; Arthropoda; Insecta; Coleoptera; Curculionidae.